This 211-nucleotide ribosomal RNA is filed under the name uncultured bacterium. RNAcentral describes it as "partial 16S ribosomal RNA". It matches the Rfam family "Bacterial small subunit ribosomal RNA", at positions 1290 to 1500 of the family's 1533-position model. The record is from RNAcentral.
AGUUCAGAUUGCAGGCUGCAACCCGCCUGCAUGAAGUCGGAAUUGCUAGUAAUCGCGGAUCAGCAUGCCGCGGUGAAUAACGUUCCCGGGCCUUGUACACACCGCCCGUCACACCAUGGGAGCCGGUAAUACCCGAAGUCAGUAGUCCAACCUCGUGAGGACGCUGCCGAAGGUAGGAUUGGCGACUGGGGUGAAGUCGUAACAAGGUACC